AAUUAAACACAGGGGAGCUGAUUAGGCAGCUGAGAGUAAGAAAUUUAAUUCUUUGACCCUAGUUACCUGAACUGGAUAAUGCCAGCGUAGGAAGUGUAGGGGUAAUAUUA
RNAcentral lists this non-coding RNA (110 nucleotides) under Clostridium acetireducens. Its description in RNAcentral is "TPP sequence". It matches the Rfam family "TPP riboswitch aptamer (THI element)". Rfam says of the family: Vitamin B(1) in its active form thiamin pyrophosphate (TPP) is an essential coenzyme that is synthesised by coupling of pyrimidine and thiazole moieties in bacteria. The previously detected thiamin-regulatory element, thi box was extended, resulting in a new, highly conserved RNA secondary structure, the THI element, which is widely distributed in eubacteria and also occurs in some archaea. Analysis of operon structures identified a large number of new candidate thiamin-regulated genes, mostly transporters, in various prokaryotic organisms. The record is from RNAcentral. RNAcentral also lists the same sequence under 1 other name. Lineage: Bacteria; Bacillati; Bacillota; Clostridia; Eubacteriales; Clostridiaceae.